This 501-nucleotide ribosomal RNA is filed under the name uncultured bacterium. Its description in RNAcentral is "partial 16S ribosomal RNA". It matches the Rfam family "Bacterial small subunit ribosomal RNA", at positions 30 to 523 of the family's 1533-position model. The record is from RNAcentral.
AUUGAACGCUGGCGGCAGGCUUAACACAUGCAAGUCGAGCGGGGAAGGGUAGCUUGCUACCUAACCUAGCGGCGGACGGGUGAGUAAUGCUUAGGAAUCUGCCAUUUAGUGGGGGACAACAUUCCGAAAGGAAUGCUAAUACCGCAUACGUCCUACGGGAGAAAGCAGGGGAUCUUCGGACCUUGCGCUAAAUGAUGAGCCUAAGUCGGAUUAGCUAGUUGGUGGGGUAAAGGCCUACCAAGGCGACGAUCUGUAGCGGGGCUGAGAGGAUGAUCCGCCACACUGGGACUGGGACACGGCCCAGACUCCUACGGGAGGCAGCAGUGGGGAAUAUUGGACAAUGGGCGAAAGCCUGAUCCAGCCAUGCCGCGUGUGUGAAGAAGGCCUUUUGGUUGUAAAGCACUUUAAGCGAGGAGGAGGCUACUAGUACUAAUACUACUGGAUAGUGGACGUUACUCGCAGAAUAAGCACCGGCUAACUCUGUGCCAGCCGCCGCCGUAA